UACGAAGGGUGCAAGCGUUACUCGGAAUCACUGGGCGUAAAGCGCACGUAGGCGGAUUGCUAAGUCAGGGGUGAAAUCCUGGAGCUCAACUCCAGAACUGCCUUUGAUACUGGCGACCUUGAGUCCGGGAGAGGUGAGUGGAACUGCGAGUGUAGAGGUGAAAUUCGUAGAUAUUCGCAAGAACACCAGUGGCGAAGGCGGCUCACUGGCCCGGUACUGACGCUGAGGUGCGAAAGCGUGGGGAGCAAACAGG
RNAcentral lists this ribosomal RNA (253 nucleotides) under uncultured bacterium. RNAcentral's name for it is "partial 16S ribosomal RNA". It matches the Rfam family "Bacterial small subunit ribosomal RNA", at positions 524 to 776 of the family's 1533-position model. The record is from RNAcentral.